This 495-nucleotide ribosomal RNA is filed under the name uncultured bacterium. RNAcentral describes it as "partial 16S ribosomal RNA". It matches the Rfam family "Bacterial small subunit ribosomal RNA", at positions 28 to 507 of the family's 1533-position model. The record is from RNAcentral.
GACGAACGCUGGCGGCGUGCCUAAUACAUGCAAGUAGAACGCUGAAGGAGGAGCUUGCUUCUCCGGAUGAGUUGCGAACGGGUGAGUAACGCGUAGGUAACCUGCCUGGUAGCGGGGGAUAACUAUUGGAAACGAUAGCUAAUACCGCAUAACAGUAGAUGUUGCAUGACAUUUGCUUAAAAGGUGCAAUUGCAUCACUACCAGAUGGACCUGCGUUGUAUUAGCUAGUUGGUGAGGUAACGGCUCACCAAGGCGACGAUACAUAGCCGACCUGAGAGGGUGGUCGGCCACACUGGGACUGAGACACGGCCCAGACUCCUACGGGAGGCAGCAGUAGGGAAUCUUCGGCAAUGGACGGAAGUCUGACCGAGCAACGCCGCGUGAGUGAAGAAGGUUUUCGGAUCGUAAAGCUCUGUUGUAAGAGAAGAACGAGUGUGAGAGUGGAAAGUUCACACUGUGACGGUAUCUGACCAGAAAGGGACGGCUAACUACGUG